This is a long non-coding RNA of Piliocolobus tephrosceles (Ugandan red Colobus), 2234 nucleotides long. NCBI's taxonomy places the organism in Eukaryota, Metazoa, Chordata, Mammalia, Primates, Cercopithecidae. The record is from Ensembl.
UUUUUUAUUUGUUUUUCUUUUUUAUUUAUUUUUUUUUUUAUUUAUUUAUUUGUUUGUUUAUUUGUUUGUUUGUUUGUUUUUUUUUUUUUUUUUUUUUUUUUUUUUUUNNNNNNNNNNNNNNNNNNNNNNNNNNNNNNNNNNNNNNNNNNNNNNNNNNNNNNNNNNNNNNNNNNNNNNNNNNNNNNNNNNNNNNNNNNNNNNNNNNNNUUUUUUUUUUUUUUUUUUUUUUUUUUUGUUCUGUUCUCUAAUGUCUGUCAUAUGUGAAUAGAAUAAGUAUUAAAAAAAUGUAUAAACAAACCUCUAAGUGUUUAUUACUAGUGGUACCGACCCAAGAGUUGAGCUGACUCUCUCUUUAUUUUGUUUAACUUUGCUCUUUUCUACUUUGUUUUACUUUGUUUUACUUUGUUUUACUUUGCUUUACUUUGUCUUACUCUGUUUUACUUUGUUAGUUAUUUUUUUAACUGACAUAACCUUAGUUAAAUCCUUCUUAUUUUAACUAAAGUUAUAAUAUUAUUUCAUUUUUUAUACGUACUUUUUUUACCUGUUUUUUUUUUUUUUUUUUUUUUUUUUUUUUUUUUUUUUUUUUUUUUUUACUUUCUAAAAUGAGCAAAACCAGAAGAGAAAAAGUAGGUGUUAAAGACACACCAGACAAAACCUCACAUAUUAAAAACAAAAAAAAAAACGUAUAUACGCACUUAAUUUUAACACUAUUAAUAUGUUUUAUAAUUAGAUUAUUAUCAUUUACAUUGUUUAACGUAAUUAAAGGAAGUGAUUAUAAUUAUAUAAACAAAUUAAUACAUAUAGAGGAUAGAAUAACAAAAGAAGACUUUAACAUAAACACUGUUCCUGGAACUGGAAUUGUAGAUACAUCUAUGGUUACAAAUAAUAAGAACAUAGAUGAAGAUUUGAAUAUAAUGAUAACAUACUUUGAAAAAAAUAAAAGAAAUAAUAAUUUGAAAUUUAUUUUAUUUAAAAAUAAAUCAAUGUAUUAUGCAUUUAAUUCAGAUAUAUAUAAUUUUAAAUAUAUUUACGAUAGUUAUGUAUUAAGUAAAUUAUAUAAAGAUAUAUAUUCAUCAUUAACAGUACGCAUAAAUCCAUUAUUAUUAAAAAUGUUAAAUUUUUUAAUUUUUAAAAAAAUAAUAAUUAAACCAUAUGAAAAUAUUACAAUUGGUAACACUGUUGUUAGUAACACUAUUGUUAGUAAAAUAUUACAAAAUGUUAUAAACAAUUACGAGUUACGUUAUUUUUUACUUAUAUGUUUUGUUGAUUUACUAAUAGCCUUUUUUUUAUUUGUAAUUGUCCAAAAAUUAAAAAAAGAAAAACAAUUUUUUAAGUAUAUAUAUCAAGAUUCAAAAGAAAAACAUAAAUUCUUAAAUUCUAUAUUAUUAAUAAAUAUAUAUUUAAACAACCCAUUAACUAUUUUAUCAAACAUAUUUUUAUCAUUUGACAAUUUUAAAUUAUUACUUAUUACUAUAUCUUUUUAUUUUACUAUUUUAAGAAUAAACAAAUUUACUAUUAAAAUAUUUAAUUUUUGUAACCUUUUAUUUAUUCUUAUAAUUAAUGCUAUACUCCUAUAUACUACUUCAUUACAAUAUAUAUUAAUAAUAAUAGGAAUAAAUCAUUUUAUUAUUUUUAUAAAUGAAAAAAUAAAUAAUUAUAAUAUUAAAGAAGUUAUAAAAUUUAGAAAGUUAUGUUUCAUUUUAUUUAAAAAUGCGUUAUUACUGACAACCACAUUUUUGAUUUAUUCUUUGCUUUUGCUUCUCUCUUAUCGUAUUAAUUUCAACUCACUGUCUUUUUUAAAUAAUACGAUAGUAAAUCAGUAUAAAAUAAUAUUUUUACAACCAAACUUGGGUAUUUUUUGGUAUAUCAAUUCACUGGUAAUAUAUAUGAGUAUAUAUGAACAUAUAUGCAUGUAUGUGUACAUAUUUAACAUUGUAAAGCAAAACUGGGUACAAUCAUAAUCAUUGUGCACAUACAACGCCUUCUCAACAUAAGUAUACAUACAUAUAUAUACAUACAUACAUAUAUAUAUAUAUAUAUAUAUGCAUGUACGUAUGUAUGCAUAUGCUGACCGUGUAAUAUUUUAUUCACACAUUUUAUAGAUAUUCAAAGAAUAUUACUACGCAUUUUUGUUCUUUUUUCACGUAAGCCAUUGUUACGUACGCAUAUGUACACACUUGCGUACUUUAAACAGAAAAAAUAAAAAAAAAUAAAGUAAAAUAAUAAUAAAAUAG